RNAcentral lists this ribosomal RNA (454 nucleotides) under Enhydrobacter sp. R-45685. RNAcentral describes it as "bacterial SSU rRNA". It matches the Rfam family "Bacterial small subunit ribosomal RNA", at positions 20 to 473 of the family's 1533-position model. The record is from RNAcentral. Lineage: Bacteria; Pseudomonadati; Pseudomonadota; Alphaproteobacteria; Hyphomicrobiales.
UGGCUCAGAUUGAACGCUGGCGGCAGGCUUAACACAUGCAAGUCGAACGAUGACUCUCUAGCUUGCUAGRGAUGAUUAGUGGCGGACGGGUGAGUAACAUUUAGGAAUCUACCUAGUAGUGGGGGAUAGCUCGGGGAAACUCGAAUUAAUACCGCAUACGACCUACGGGUGAAAGGGGGCGCAAGCUCUUGCUAUUAGAUGAGCCUAAAUCAGAUUAGCUAGUUGGUGGGGUAAAGGCCCACCAAGGCGACGAUCUGUAACUGGUCUGAGAGGAUGAUCAGUCACACCGGAACUGAGACACGGUCCGGACUCCUACGGGAGGCAGCAGUGGGGAAUAUUGGACAAUGGGGGCAACCCUGAUCCAGCCAUGCCGCGUGUGUGAAGAAGGCCUUUUGGUUGUAAAGCACUUUAAGCAGGGAGGAGAGGCUAAUGGUUAAUACCCAUUAGAUUAGAC